RNAcentral lists this long non-coding RNA (1122 nucleotides) under Anas platyrhynchos platyrhynchos (common mallard). RNAcentral describes it as "lncRNA (ENSAPLG00000018779.1)". Lineage: Eukaryota; Metazoa; Chordata; Aves; Anseriformes; Anatidae. The record is from RNAcentral.
UACAGGUUUAGUGUAGUACUGCACAAAAUUAGUGCGAUUUUUACUGGACAGGCAAAAUAUAAAAAAGCAAAAACAAAAUUUCCUUUCCUUCAGUGGCAUUUCUUUACACUCAGUUUUAAUACUUUGAUUAAUAAUCUUGCAUGGCUCCUCUUGCACAAUGUGUUUCAUAGAUUACUAGAGUAAAAACAGUUAAGGUUUUGCUCUGCAAAGAUAAAAGGGCAGCAGAGCACAAGAUGCAGGUAGGGCCCUUACUUCCAGUCGUGAGGCACUUCUACCACAUUUCCUUUUGUACCUCCACACGUUUUCUUUCCCGCAUUGCUCACAGUUGGAUGUAGACAAAAUUAGGCUUUAUCCUUCUGACUCAGAUAAACAGGAGCAGGAAGGACACCCUUCCCCACCUCUCAUUUUGGAAUGCAAAAAAUACUCUCUGGUGAGGUAAUCCUGUGGUCUGGAGUUUCAAAUUGAUUUGGACAGAUGUCUGAAGGCUAUAUAGCCUGAUGACCUUCCCCACUAAUCCAAAGUAUUUCCUUCUCUUUAUGUCUUCCUAUGGGCUACCUCUUCUCUCCUCUGGUUCUCCCAUUUCCUUUCCUCCCUGAUGCACCCUCUAUCACCAGACAUCAGCAGGGGAUCAGAUUCCGCUCCUGCAGAUAGAGAAUCCCACAGCAGCCACAGCAGUUUGGCUGAGCUUCCCGGGCUGCUAGGGCAUUUCAUCGAGCAUGAGCUCCAUCAGUUCCCAGUCCUCAGUGAGGAAGUUUUCCACCUAGCCCCUGAAGGAGCACUUCACACUCAUCCGUGUCUUCCACCACCCUUCCUGCUCUGGGAGGUGGCAGUCAUCUCCCCCGCGGGACCCGUGAGCAGCAAGAAGGAACACAGUCUCUCAAGAUUGCACGUCAGUGCCGUCUGAGAUGUCUCUGAACGUGCGUCUGCAUUUUCUGUUUGAUUAACAGCAUUGUCUCGCACAUUCUUGGGAUAAGAGAGCCAUGAAGCCAGGCAGAGGCUUUUCCUACUAGGGUGAAAGGGGCAGGACUCGGACAGACAAAAACCUAGCAAACUCUUUCAGUGUUUUCAAAGCAAGUGACUGCAUUUGGAAAAAAAUAAAAAUAAUAAAAAAAAAAUGACCCA